GACGAACGCUGGCGGCGUGCCUAAUACAUGCAAGUAGAACGCUGAAGGAGGUGCUUGCUUCUCUGGAUGAGUUGCGAACGGGUGAGUAACGCGUAGGUAACCUGCCUGGUAGCGGGGGAUAACUAUUGGAAACGAUAGCUAAUACCGCAUAAUAUUGACUAUUGCAUGAUAGUCAAUUAAAAGGUGCAAUUGCAUCACUACCAGAUGGACCUGCGUUGUAUUAGCUAGUUGGUGGGGUAACGGCUCACCAAGGCGACGAUACAUAGCCGACCUGAGAGGGUGAUCGGCCACACUGGGACUGAGACACGGCCCAGACUCCUACGGGAGGCAGCAGUAGGGAAUCUUCGGCAAUGGACGGAAGUCUGACCGAGCAACGCCGCGUGAGUGAAGAAGGUUUUCGGAUCGUAAAGCUCUGUUGUAAGAGAAGAACGAGUGUGAGAGNGGAAAGUUCACACUGNGACG
RNAcentral lists this ribosomal RNA (462 nucleotides) under uncultured bacterium. Its description in RNAcentral is "bacterial SSU rRNA". It matches the Rfam family "Bacterial small subunit ribosomal RNA", at positions 28 to 474 of the family's 1533-position model. The record is from RNAcentral.